CUGACCAGCUGCGUGACGGGGAACAAGGAUGGAUUUAGCCGGAAAGGCAAGAGCGUCCGCAGGAAGAGCGCCCCCUGCUGUUACGGUCAGACAGGACACGACUCAUCCUGGUUAAGGACUUACCAGGCAGAACUGCACAGGGAAAGGAAAUUGAGGCAAGUCAAGUUUGCGCAGAAGAACGCAGAAAGAGCCGCAAUGAGGACACAUCAUAGAGUCCACACCGCCUCACAAAGACACCGGUUCAGAGGGCAAACCUAAAAAGCAAGACCGCCAACAAAAAUGACAACUCUCUUUUUGGCGCCUUCCAAGGGCUCAGUCUGAGCAUGAGUGGAGCACAAACCUCCGUAACAUCAUCAAGUGCAGAUCCAUGUAAAGUCAUGUG
Molecule: long non-coding RNA, 382 nt
Organism: Ctenopharyngodon idella (grass carp)
Lineage: Eukaryota; Metazoa; Chordata; Actinopteri; Cypriniformes; Xenocyprididae
Exons: 3
Source: RefSeq, a predicted model, not a curated record